AACGAACGCUGGCGGCAGGCCUAACACAUGCAAGUCGAGCGAGGACUUCGGUCCUAGCGGCGGACGGGUGAGUAACGCGUGGGAACGUGCCCCUUUCUACGGAAUAGCCCCGGGAAACUGGGAGUAAUACCGUAUAAGCCCUACGGGGGAAAGAUUUAUCGGGAAGGGAUCGGCCCGCGUUGGAAUUAGGUAGUUGGUGGGGUAAUGGCCUACCAAGCCGACGAUCCAUAGCUGGUUUGAGAGGAUGAUCAGCCACACUGGGACUGAGACACGGCCCAGACUCCUACGGGAGGCAGCAGUGGGGAAUCUUAGACAAUGGGCGCAAGCCUGAUCUAGCCAUGCCGCGUGAGCGGAUGAAGGCCUUAGGGGUUGUAAAGCUCUUUCAGGGGGGAAGAUAAUGACUGUACCCCCAGAAGAAGCCCCGGCUAACUCCGUG
RNAcentral lists this ribosomal RNA (436 nucleotides) under uncultured bacterium. RNAcentral's name for it is "bacterial SSU rRNA". It matches the Rfam family "Bacterial small subunit ribosomal RNA", at positions 29 to 507 of the family's 1533-position model. The record is from RNAcentral.